Molecule: small nuclear RNA, 107 nt
Organism: Octodon degus (degu)
Lineage: Eukaryota; Metazoa; Chordata; Mammalia; Rodentia; Octodontidae
Source: Ensembl
GUGCUUGCUUUGGCAGCACAUGUACUAAAAUUGGACCAAUACAGAGGAGUUUAGCAUGGCCCCUGCGCAAGGAUGAUGUGCAAAUUUGUGAAACCUUCCAUAUUUUU